Molecule: transfer RNA, 74 nt
Filed under: Rhodococcus ruber
Lineage: Bacteria; Bacillati; Actinomycetota; Actinomycetes; Mycobacteriales; Nocardiaceae
Description: tRNA-Gly
Rfam family: tRNA
About the family: Transfer RNA (tRNA) molecules are approximately 80 nucleotides in length. Their secondary structure includes four short double-helical elements and three loops (D, anti-codon, and T loops).
Source: RNAcentral
GCCGGUGUGGUGUAGUGGCAACACGUAACCUUCCCAAGGUUGAAUUGCGGGUUCGAUUCCCGUCACCGGCUCCA